GCUAAUACCGCAUACACUCUGAGGAGGAAAGUAGGGGAUCGAAAGACCUUAUGCUUUUGGAGCGGCCGAUGUCUGAUUAGCUAGUUGGUAAGGUAAUGGCUUACCAAGGCAACGAUCAGUAGUUGGUCUGAGAGGACGACCAGCCACACUGGGACUGAGACACGGCCCAGACUCCUACGGGAGGCAGCAGUGGGGAAUUUUGGACAAUGGGCGCAAGCCUGAUCCAGCAAUGCCGCGUGAGUGAAGAAGGCCUUCGGGUUGUAAAGCUCUUUCAGUUGAGAAGAAAAGAUUGUGACUAAUAAUUGCAACUCAUGACGGUAUCAACAGAAGAAGCACCGGCUAACUACGUGCCAGCAGCCGCGGUAAUACGUAGGGUGCGAGCGUUAAUCGGAAUUACUGGGCGUAAAGGGUGCGCAGGCGGUUCUGUAAGUCAGAUGUGAAAUCCCCGGGCUUAACCUGGGAACUGCGUUUGAAACUA
Molecule: ribosomal RNA, 478 nt
Filed under: uncultured ammonia-oxidizing bacterium
Lineage: Bacteria
Description: bacterial SSU rRNA
Rfam family: Bacterial small subunit ribosomal RNA
Source: RNAcentral